This is a non-coding RNA of Phytophthora infestans T30-4, 73 nucleotides long. The record is from Rfam. NCBI's taxonomy places the organism in Eukaryota, Oomycota, Peronosporomycetes, Peronosporales, Peronosporaceae.
GCCCUUGUAGCUCAAUGGUAGAGUCCGGGCUUGUCAAGCCAAAGGCCAGGGGUUCGAUCCCCAUGCGGGAACA